Molecule: ribosomal RNA, 465 nt
Filed under: Vreelandella stevensii
Lineage: Bacteria; Pseudomonadati; Pseudomonadota; Gammaproteobacteria; Oceanospirillales; Halomonadaceae
Description: partial 16S ribosomal RNA
Rfam family: Bacterial small subunit ribosomal RNA
Source: RNAcentral
CCUACGGGAGGCUGCAGUGGGGAAUAUUGGACAAUGGGGGCAACCCUGAUCCAGCCAUGCCGCGUGUGUGAAGAAGGCCCUCGGGUUGUAAAGCACUUUCAGUGAGGAAGAACGCCUGGUGGUUAAUACCCAUCAGGAAAGACAUCACUCACAGAAGAAGCACCGGCUAACUCCGUGCCAGCAGCCGCGGUAAUACGGAGGGUGCGUGCGUUAAUCGGAAUUACUGGGCGUAAAGCGCGCGUAGGUGGCUUGAUAAGCCGGUUGUGAAAGCCCCGGGCUCAACCUGGGAACGGCAUCCGGAACUGUCAAGCUAGAGUGCAGGAGAGGAAGGUAGAAUUCCCGGUGUAGCGGUGAAAUGCGUAGAGAUCGGGAGGAAUACCAGUGGCGAAGGCGGCCUUCUGGACUGACACUGACACUGAGGUGCGAAAGCGUGGGUAGCAAACAGGAUUAGAUACCCCGGUAGUC